AUUGAACGCUGGCGGCAUGCCUUACACAUGCAAGUCGAACGGUAACAGGUCUUCGGAUGCUGACGAGUGGCGAACGGGUGAGUAAUACAUCGGAACGUGCCUAGUAGUGGGGGAUAACUACUCGAAAGAGUGGCUAAUACCGCAUGAGAUCUACGGAUGAAAGCAGGGGAUCGAAAGACCUUGUGCUACUAGAGCGGCCGAUGGCAGAUUAGGUAGUGGGUGGGAUAAAAGCUUACCAAGCCGACGAUCUGUAGCUGGUCUGAGAGGACGAUCAGCCACACUGGGACUGAGACGCGGCCCAGACUCCUACGGGAGGCAGCAGUGGGGAAUUUUGGACAAUGGGCGCAAGCCUGAUCCAGCAAUGCCGCGUGCAGGAUGAAGGCCUUCGGGUUGUAAACUGCUUUUGUACGGAACGAAAAGCCCCGGGUUAAUACCCUGGGGUCAUGACGGUACCGUAAGAAUGAGCACCGGCUAACUACGUGCCAGCCGCCGCCGUAA
Molecule: ribosomal RNA, 498 nt
Filed under: uncultured bacterium
Lineage: Bacteria
Description: partial 16S ribosomal RNA
Rfam family: Bacterial small subunit ribosomal RNA
Source: RNAcentral